Gallus gallus (chicken) is the source of this 1050-nucleotide long non-coding RNA. The record is from Ensembl. Lineage: Eukaryota; Metazoa; Chordata; Aves; Galliformes; Phasianidae.
GGGCCACAGCCUGCAGCCAGGCACUGCCAUGCACCCCAUGCUCCAGCCAGUCCUGCAGAGCCAGGUUGGGAAACACCUGCAGCUGCAUGUGAGCAUUGGGAAGCACCCAGAGGGCCCAAAAGCUCCUGCAUUCCUGCCUCCCCACCUGGCAGAACCACAGCGUGCUUCUCCAGCAGCCGGGCAGGAUUUGGCCCUCCUCCUUGGUGGUGGAGUUGUGAAAGAGGCUGAAAGGAGAUGGGAGAUUCCCAGGCAGCUCCGAGAUGUGCGCUGGCACUGCGGCUCCGCAGGAAUGCCAGGGAGUGGAGAUGGGAGGAGAGCUGCUGCUUGUUGUGCACAGGCAGGGAACACCUGGAGCUUGGGCAACGUGGGGAGCCAUCCCUGCUGCUCCGACUGGCUCCAUGCAUGUGCUGGCUGCUGGUCUUUAUUACAUUAAUUGCGUUUCACUUUGAGGCUCCGUCAAGUCCGAACGCAGCCCCAACGUAGCGUCACGGGCCUGGCUGGCAUCCAGGAAGGAAAGCCAAGGGGAUGGAGGAAGAUGGGGUGAGAAAGCAGCAGACCAAGGGACCUUUGGCUCUCUGGGUACAGGGAACGACAUGUUCUGCCCUUACCUUGUGCUCACUGCCCAUCUCCCUCUGCCCUGGAAGUGAUGCUGCCUCUGGGCUGGUGCUGCAGGGCUCUCAGCUUUGCAGCAACAGCUGUCUGAGCCCGGAUCUGAGUGGAUACAAAUCCCUCCCUGCUUUUCCAAGGCGCUGACGUGACACUGAACUUCAGGUUUUGAGGUGAGGAAGGGGGAAUGAAGGUUUGCUGCUCAGCUGGGGCUGACAAAAGCUGCAUCCCAGGCUCCAAGGUGAAGCUGUGUCAGACUGUAAUCCUCUGCUCCCAAGCACUGCUGGAACGUCACAGCAGAGCAUGGAGGAGAACGUUUUCUUUUAACAGCACAUUUUUCCUUAAACCAGUUUGCAGGCACGGCUGAGGCAUUUUAAUGGAAAUUUCCUCCCAGUAAAAAGGCUGCAGCACACAUACCAGAAACUCUUGGCCCGGAUCGUUAAC